GAAACAGAGAGAAAGACAGAGAAAAGAGGCAGAGGAGAGCACAAGCAUCGAAAGAAAAGGUUUUUGUGUCUUACUCUCUUCUUUGAAGAAGAGAGUGGGAGAGAAUGGAGUUUGAGACAACCAGCAGUUGGAUAUGGGAUGGGGUGCAUCACCACCCACAUGUCUUUGGCUGUUUAAUGUUAACGGCUGCCUUGUUGGGAUUGUCCACCAGCUAUUUUGGUGGAAUUGGACUUUCUUCUUUCCCUUAUAUGUGUUGGGAUCUUGGUUUUUUCUACAAGAAGAGAUGUGAGAAGAAGAAACCCAUUCGCGUUUACAUGGACGGUUGCUUUGAUCUUAUGCAUUAUGGCCAUGCCAAUGCUUUAAGGCAAGCUAAGGCUUUGGGUGAUGAAUUGGUAGUAGGUGUUGUCAGUGAUGAGGAGAUUAUUUCCAAUAAGGGUCCCCCUGUUUUGCCUAUGGAAGAGAGGUUGGCUCUUGUCAGUGGAUUGAAGUGGGUGGAUGAAGUCAUAGCCAAUGCUCCAUAUGCCAUUACAGAGCAGUUCAUGAAAACUCUCUUCAAUGAGCAUAAGAUUGACUAUAUCAUACAUGGUGAUGAUCCUUGUCUGCUUCCUGACGGAACUGAUGCUUAUGCCUUAGCCAAGAGAGCUAGACGCUACAAGCAGAUUAAACGUACUGAAGGGGUCUCCAGCACAGAUAUUGUAGGAAGGAUACUUGCUGUGAAUGAUACAAAAGUUUGUAAUCAUGAUGAUAAAUUGUCUUCAUCUGGAGAUUCCUUCACUGGAAAUCAAUCCAGUAGUGCCCAUAUAUCUCAAUUUCUACCUACGUCACAGCGAAUUGUGCAAUUUUCAAAUGGCAAGGGACCUGGACCAAAUGCUCAUGUUGUGUACAUUGAUGGGGCAUUUGAUCUCUUCCAUGCUGGACAUGUGGAGAUUCUCAGGUGUGCUAGGCAGCUUGGAGAUUUUCUGCUGGUUGGGAUCCACACUGACCAGAUUGUGAGUGAACACAGGGGGAAGCACUACC
Molecule: unclassified non-coding RNA, 1017 nt
Filed under: Hevea brasiliensis (rubber tree)
Lineage: Eukaryota; Viridiplantae; Streptophyta; Magnoliopsida; Malpighiales; Euphorbiaceae
Source: RNAcentral